Molecule: long non-coding RNA, 545 nt
Organism: Leptinotarsa decemlineata (Colorado potato beetle)
Lineage: Eukaryota; Metazoa; Arthropoda; Insecta; Coleoptera; Chrysomelidae
Source: RefSeq, a predicted model, not a curated record
UUUAUUAACUUUUUCAAGGACUUUUGUAAGCUUCCAUAAUAAAAAAAAUAAACAUUUGUAAUGGACAACUUUAUGCAGAUAUUAGUGAAGGUCACUUACUAGGUACACGUACUGGGACGACUGUGGAUUCGAAAUUUUAAUUCAAAUCAGUUACAUGUGAUGAACAAAUUGUCAAAGCUGCCCAUUGAAUAAAGUAGCAAUCUCAAAUCGAAACUAGUUAUCAAGAUCUCUGAAUUGGGGCAAGGCUUCAUCUCCUGAAGACGCUAACUCAGUGAAAAACGUGUCAAAAGGAAUAUUGCCAAGAUACUUGGCUGAUAUGUGAUAUAGCCUGUGAGUUUACUAAAGGAUAUUAAAAUGAAAAGUAAUGAUAAGAGGAGGUGACUGAACAGAUUUUCAGCUUUUCAUGAAAUGAUUACCUACAUGUUUUCAUUUAUUAUUUGUUGAAUGUUGGUGUUGGAAAUUAUGAUUCUGGUUUGAUAUCCUAUUUUAAGGAGAUAUAUUAGAUUUGAAUUUUAUUACAUCACACAUUGAACGAAACAAACUGU